Homo sapiens (human) is the source of this 1003-nucleotide long non-coding RNA. RefSeq lists it as uncharacterized. NCBI's taxonomy places the organism in Eukaryota, Metazoa, Chordata, Mammalia, Primates, Hominidae. The transcript is spliced from 3 exons. The record is from RefSeq and is a predicted model, not a curated record.
GUGAGCCAAGAUUGCGCCAUUGCACUCCAGCCUGGGCAACAAGAGUGAAACUGUCUCAAAAAAAACAAUUCUCUCCCUGUUGGAGAAACCCAUUUGCAUAAGAAUAAGAGGUUCUUCCUUCAGGCAUCUUUCCAGCCCUGCAUUUAAGCUGUUGUUGUUUUUUUUUCUUUUCUCCACCCCGUCAGAGUUAACUUUUAUGUAAGUUUUUUUUUUUUCCUUUUAGAAGAUGUUUCACCAGGUCAGGACCCCAAUUCCUUUUCCUUGUUGGAGGAGUACUCAAUUCCACAGCUUCACCUUAGCAUUCAGCUUAUGAUAAGGAGUCCAUGCAACCCCCUGAGGCAGGUCUUUUGUCCCAAACUCAAUUCCAAGCUUCGAGUUGAAGCCCAGGGAAAGAAAACUGUAUCUGAGGGAUUCAGAGGCAGACGAUGACGGAAGUUAAAAGGCACAGCGCAGCCUCAAGAUUGUCUUUCCUGACCCCUAGCUCUUGGAUGGUACAGAGGACCCCUGGAGCAUCCAAAAGAGAGGUUUCUGAUAACUUCGGGGAUUGUGACAAUGGAAUUAAAAAAAGUACAGGACUCAUGAAGAACUGAAGUGUUCAUGAAUGUCAAGCAAAGCAAGAAUAAACUGAAUGGACUGACCUAACAGAAAACUGAAGUAAUAUUUUUUGGCUUUUGCUUGGAACAUUGCUGAUCCUUGUUUUGUUUUUCAGAGUCAAGGAUAUGUAUUUUGAGCUAUUUAUGGGCUUUAAUAAUUGAGUAAGGUAUACUCCUGUGAACAAAAUUUGGAGCAUAUUUGUUUUUUUCUCUGACUGGCUUCUUCAGGAUUUGGAAACUUGUCAUGAGUGUUCUUGACUUAAGGCAGUAUAGUUGUUUGCAUCAGUGCAAUAACAAUCCAUUUCCUUUUGCAACAGGAUGCAAUGGGAGAAACUGGUUGUUUUGCCAAGGCUUUGACUGGAAGGGUAUGCUUCCCUUUAAGGAAUCAAGCUUGACUUGUAGAGCCGAUA